This 656-nucleotide long non-coding RNA is filed under the name Chrysolophus pictus (golden pheasant). RNAcentral's name for it is "lncRNA (ENSCPIG00010007571.1)". Lineage: Eukaryota; Metazoa; Chordata; Aves; Galliformes; Phasianidae. The record is from RNAcentral.
AGCCCGUUCCAUGCCCACCGCCCUGUGGUGCAGCAGCUGUCCCUAACCCCCAGCUGCCCUCCCCUGACACAGCUCCAUGCCGUUCCCUCGGGCCCCGUCGCUGUCACACAGAGCAGAGCUCAGCGCUGCCCCUCCGCUCCCUGCGAGGAGCUGCAGCCGCCAUCAGGCCUCCCCUCAGCUCCUGUGCUCUGCGCUGAACACAACCAGGAACCUCAGUCUCCGCCGACCCCCGGUCCCCGCUGUCAGAGCAGCGCAGGAGGGGCGGCACCUGCGGAACCGCCCCCUUCUCCUCCCUCCCUCCCUUCCCCUCUUCUCCCCUCCUCUCUUCCCGGUGGAGAGCGAGAGAGACCGAGACCCGCAGGGAGACGGCGGCAGUGGGGCUGCCGAGUGGCGCUGCUCGCAGCGAGGGGGCGGCUUUAGGGAGGGGGGAAAAAAAAGAAAAAAAAAAAGUGAGGGAGGGGCGGAAGGAAAGCGUUCAACUCCUGCUCUCCUUGCCCGGCGAGAUAAAAGCAGCUGCAGAUCUGCUGUUCAGAGGGCGCAGCGCCUGUGGCUUACCUUACAUGCAGAAGAGCAGUAAUUUGAGAAGCAGCAAAUGGUUUUCUGCUGAAUCUUAUCUUUAGAAAGGAAAAGAAGAAAGAAGCAUGAGCUUAAGGGAG